AAAAUAAAUAAACUGAAAAUUCGAAACUAAAUAAACUAAAAAUUCAGAAAAUAAAUAAACUGGAAUUAAAAUUUUCAGAAAAUAAAUAAAUAAACUGAAAAUUUGAAAAUAAAUAAAAAAUAAAUAAACCGGAAAUAAAUAAAUGAAUAAAUAAACUGGAAUUAAAAUAUUCAGAAGAUAAAUAAAUAAAUAAACUGAAAACUGAAAAAUAAAUAAACUUGAAAUAAAUAA
RNAcentral lists this long non-coding RNA (231 nucleotides) under Salvia miltiorrhiza (redroot sage). Its description in RNAcentral is "long non-coding RNA (SMIL_LNC012693)". The record is from RNAcentral. Lineage: Eukaryota; Viridiplantae; Streptophyta; Magnoliopsida; Lamiales; Lamiaceae.